GCGAUGUUGGUUCAGUGGUGGAAUUCUCGCCUUCCAUGUGGGAGACCCAGGUUCAAUUCCCAGCCAACGCA
RNAcentral lists this transfer RNA (71 nucleotides) under Loxodonta africana (African savanna elephant). It matches the Rfam family "tRNA". Rfam says of the family: Transfer RNA (tRNA) molecules are approximately 80 nucleotides in length. The record is from Rfam by way of RNAcentral. Lineage: Eukaryota; Metazoa; Chordata; Mammalia; Proboscidea; Elephantidae.